Long non-coding RNA from Rattus norvegicus (Norway rat), 1570 nucleotides. RefSeq lists it as uncharacterized. The record is from RefSeq and is a predicted model, not a curated record. NCBI's taxonomy places the organism in Eukaryota, Metazoa, Chordata, Mammalia, Rodentia, Muridae.
CUCUCCCUGCGACUUCCGACAGUCAGCCGGCAGCCUACUCUCCAGCUCCAGCUCCCGACUCCCGGCCUUCGAGAUUCCUCAGAGACCCGCGGCAGCCAUAGCCAUCGGUGGAUCGGCGCUCGGCAGGUGCGUCGGGCAGAAACCGGAAGACAGACUGACACGCUGUAGUCGAGCGCCGAGUCCUCGAGUGUACCGAAACAGAAGAAAGAGGAUGCUGCGCACGCGCCAUCGCAACGGGGCGGGCCCAGUAGGAGGAGUUUGGAGCGUGGUAACUGCGGAGUUCCUUCUGGUCCUAGCAACCCACAGCAGGCUUUGUGAAGCCUGUCACUAGCCCUUCACCCAUCAUAUAGCUCUAUGACGUCGGUUUGAAGGGACAUGGGAAGGAAGGUGGGAGGCAACUCCCUUCCUCAACACCUACACUUUACCUCCCUAAGAAGACCAUUGGUGGAUCAGAAGCACCACAGAGGGUGCCUGGAGACAUCUUAGAGGCCGUCUUCCCCGAAGGACUGCUUUACACUGGUUCAAGAACAAGGCCUUCCACAAAACCCUUGAGCAAUGUGGAGAGGGUGGCUUCCUUCAAGCCAGUGGCUUUCAGACAGCAGCCUCUAAUGUGACCCUAGUGAUCUUUGGGCUUCUAAGAGAUUAAAAAUAUGCAGAGAAUUGUGAAAGGCUGGCAAGGCAACAAAGUGAAAACAGUUUCUCUCACAUAUAUUUUCAUCCUGGACCUCUCCAUGGCAACCGUCUACCUCCCCAGUCCUCCCAGAAAUAGUCUGUAGACUUUUUAACAGAUGACUGAACCAUCUACUUAGUGUAGGGAGUAAGCCUGAUUGAUCCCAGGCUGGGAGUCAGUGGGCUGGGUUCCUAGACCAACUGUCGAUGUCUGCUCUGUCUGUGUUCUGACGGCAAACAUGUCCUUCCCUGGGAGUAGGCAUUGAGCCUAAAUCUUGCUGUGUGACCAGGCCAUCACCUCUCACCACAGGGCUGCCUCUGAGAAGCAGACACUAGUAUGGAUUAGCCGUGAUUAGUAGAGAGAAAUAUCCACCAUGCAGAAAACUGGGGAAGGCCCUACACCAAGGGAACAAAAAUUGACAGAGAAAAAAAUACAGGACACCUAGCUAGUUAAAUUCUAAAUCAGAUCAAGACAUGGUAGCAUGUUCCCAUUAUUCCUAGCAGAGGCAAAAAGAUCAGGGGUUUAAAGAUAGCCUGUGCUACCCUGUGAGACUCUCAGAAAGAGCCAACCAGGGCUGAAGAGAUGGCUUAGCAGUUAGGAGCACAGGCUGCUCUUCUAGGGGACUCAGGUUCUAUUUCCAACAACCACAAGGCAACUUCUGGUGUCCAGAACUGUAAGUGAACAGAUUUACAUUGUUUAAAAGCUAGUAAGUGGGCUGGAGAGAUGGCUCAGUGGUUAGGAGCACUGACUGCUCUUCCAAAGGUCCUGAGUUCAAAUCCCAGCAACCACAUGGUGGCUCACAACCAUCUGUAAUGAGAUCUGAUGCCCUCUUCUGGUGUGUCUGAAGACAGCUACAGUGUACUGAUAUAUAAUAAAUGAAUAAAUCUUAAAAAAAAAAAA